RNAcentral lists this ribosomal RNA (279 nucleotides) under uncultured bacterium. Its description in RNAcentral is "partial 16S ribosomal RNA". It matches the Rfam family "Bacterial small subunit ribosomal RNA", at positions 506 to 784 of the family's 1533-position model. The record is from RNAcentral.
UGCCAGCCGCCGCGGUAAUACGGAGGGUGCAAGCGUUGUUCGGAAUUAUUGGGCGUAAAGCGCGUGUAGGCGGUUCGUUAAGUCUGAUGUGAAAGCCCGGGGCUCAACCCCGGAAGUGCAUUGGAAACUGGCGAACUUGAGUACGGGAGAGGAAAGUGGAAUUCCGAGUGUAGGGGUGAAAUGCGUAGAUAUCUGGAGGAACAUCAGUGGCGAAGGCGACUCUCUGGCCAAAGACUGACGCUCAUGUGCGAAAGUGUGGGUAGCGAACAGGAUUAGAUA